GAUUAUCCAGGUUAAUUUCCUGGGGGCUGAUGAGGAGUAGGGUUUCUGGGCAACUUAAACGGACCCAGAGUUAGUCGAUCCUAAUCAAAUUAAAUUUAGAGAAAGGGAAUAUGAAUGAUAUUUCAUAACUAAAAUUAAUUUUUAAAUGGUGACAUUUUUUUAAACUUAUUUCCAUCAAUUAAAUACUGUUUAAUAGGGAUUUCUUUCCUAUAUAACUUUUUAAUUAAAACUUAAGAAACAGGUUAACUGGAGAAUAAAGUUUUAAUUUAGUAAAAUUAUAAUUUCGAUUAUAAUAACGGCUAUUUAAAUGAUCCAUGAAACAAUAAGUUUAUUUUUUCAAAAAUUAAUUUAAUCGUACCGAUAACCGCAUCAGGUCUCCAAGGUGAGUAGCUUCUGGCCAUUGAGUAAUGGUAAUUUAGGGAAUUCGGCCAAUUAGAGCUGUAACUUCGGGAUAAAGCUUGGCUCUGAUGGAAAUCAGAACCGAUAGUUACAAGGAGAGCCCAACUGUUUAAUAAAAACUUAGUGUCGCGUCAUACCUUUAUAAGUAAUAAACGUGACAUGAAUCCUGCUCAGUGCUGUGUUUGUUAAACUGGAUUAAUCCAUUUAAGCGCCGGUAAAUAGCUGGGGUAACUAUGACUCUUAUCAAAGUAGCGAAAUACCUCGUCACUUAAUUAGUGACCUGCAUGAACGGAGCUAUGAGGUUCUCACUGUCCCAAAUUAUCACUCAGCGAACCAACAGUUGUGGGAACGGGCACAAAUUAUCCAGCGGGGAAAGAAGACCCUGUAGAGCUUCACUUUGGUCUAAUCUUGUAUAGUUUCGUUAGGGGUGCAGUCUAGGUGGGAGAUUUUUAAUCAAAUAUGAGAAACCACUACCCUUUCUGGAAUUAUACUUACUAAAAUUCUUUUAUAAAUUUUAGGAUCGGAUUAGAUAGAAAGUUUGGCUGGGGCGGCACACCUUCGAAAAAGCAGCGAAGGUGUCCUAAGUUAAGCUCAGUAAGGACAGAAAUCUUACGUUGAGGAUAAGGCCAAAAGCUUAAUUUACUGUGCCUUUUUGUACUAGGAUCAGUUUGGAAACAAAGGCCUAACGAUCCCUAAUUAGUCUUAGGUGUGUAAGACUUGGGGUGACAGACAAGUUACCUCCGGGACAACUGGCUUGUGGCUGCUAAGAGAUCAAAUCAACGCAGCUUUUUGAUUCUUCGAUGUCGGCUCUUCCUAUCCUAGUGAUGUACAAGUCACUAAGGGUUGGAUUGUUCACCCGUAUUAGGGAUCGUGAGCUGGGUUUAGACCGUCGUGAGCCAGGUUUGUUUUAUCCUACUGGAUAUAAUUUAGCAUCUUGAUAGUAGUUUGAUUUAGUACGAGAGGAACUGUUGAAUAUGGUCUCUGGUUUGGGAAUUUUAUGAAAAUAAAAGUUCCAAAGCUACGCCGUCUGAGAUAAUGGCUGAAGGCCUCUUAAGCCAGAAACUCAUCUAAAAAUAGAUGCUUUAAACUAUUUAAA
Molecule: ribosomal RNA, 1495 nt
Filed under: human gut metagenome
Description: eukaryotic LSU rRNA
Rfam family: Eukaryotic large subunit ribosomal RNA
Source: RNAcentral